This 413-nucleotide long non-coding RNA is filed under the name Pan troglodytes (chimpanzee). Its description in RNAcentral is "long non-coding RNA NONPTRT005574". The record is from RNAcentral. Lineage: Eukaryota; Metazoa; Chordata; Mammalia; Primates; Hominidae.
AAAAAACAAAGAAAUACUGCUUACUACACAGUUGGACUCUCUUAAAAGACUUAUAAAAGAAAAACAGGAUGAAGUUGUCUAUUACGAUCCAUGUGAAAGUCCAGAGGAACUUAGUCAUUGACUGUGGUGGGGCUGCAGGACGAUAAGAAUUUGGAAGUGAAAGAACUCAGAAGGCAGUGCCAGCAGCUGGAGUCUAUUAAACGGGGCAGGAUCUGUGUCAAAAGAGCUUCUCUCCAGAGUAGAAAGGAUCAGUGCAAAGAAAAUCAUUGGCUCAGAUUGCAACAGGCUGAAGAAAGCAUAAGAUAUUCUCGUCAGCAUCACAGUAUUCAGAUGGUGAGUGUCCUCCGAAGGAAAAUGUUCUAUGUUUGUGUAGCGUGACAUGCAGGCCUAGACUUGUGGAAACUGGAGUUGCG